RNAcentral lists this ribosomal RNA (292 nucleotides) under uncultured bacterium. RNAcentral's name for it is "partial 16S ribosomal RNA". It matches the Rfam family "Bacterial small subunit ribosomal RNA", at positions 505 to 796 of the family's 1533-position model. The record is from RNAcentral.
GUGCCAGCAGCCGCGGUAAUACGUAGGCAGCGAGCGUUGUUCGGAGUUACUGGGCGUAAAGCGUGCGUAGGCGGUGUCUCAAGUUUGUUGUGAAAUCUCCCGGCUCAACCGGGAGGGUGCGGCGAAUACUGAGAUGCUGGAGUGCGGGAGAGGUAAGCGGAAUUCCUGGUGUAGCGGUGAAAUGCGUAGAUAUCAGGAGGAACACCUGCGGUGUAGACGGCUUACUGGACCGUAACUGACGCUGAGGCACGAAAGCGUGGGUAGCAAACAGGAUUAGAUACCCUGGUAGUCC